GGGGGUGACAGGCUUCGACGGGGAUCAAGAGGUCAGCGGUGCAUGUCGAGCUCUCGGGGUCUCGUAAAACCUCCGGGAAACAAGCAACUGCCAACACAGAGCUGGCACUCGCGGCUUAAUUGACCGCGACGUCCCUCCACCUGAGGCCUGCGGGGGUGGAAGGGGCGCGAUGCAGCAGGCUGGUCCGAGGCUGGUGCUCAGCGGCUGAGGACGAGAACGCACUGGGCUAGCGGCCGUUCUAAGCCUGCCGAUGGGCGUGGGCGGCGGCGAAACUAAAACGAUCGGCUAAACAUGUAGAGCCGUUGCGCUGAAGUUCUUCGGACGCGGGUUCAAACCCCGCCACCUCCACCA
This is a non-coding RNA of Nitrospirae bacterium 13_1_40CM_2_62_10, 351 nucleotides long. Lineage: Bacteria; Pseudomonadati; Nitrospirota. The record is from Rfam.